CAGUCUUUAGGCAAUGUUUCAGGCUUUUACUCUGAAAAAUAAGGGAGAAAACCCACUUUCAAUGAGAGGACAGUGGAAAUUUCCAGACACGAGUCCAGCGUGUGACUGGGAGCGCACCUUUCUUGUUUGUCCUUUUCUACUGAUGAAGCUAUUGUCCGGUUUAAAUUUGAUCGAUUAUUUAUGACAAAAACAACCUGAGGAUUGAUUAUAAACAGCGUUUGACAUGUUUCUACGAACUUUUAUGGGCGGCAGGUAGCCUAGUGGUUCGAGCAUUGGACUAGUAACUGAAAGGUUGCAAGAUCGAACUGACAAGUCGUUACAGAAUCCCCCACCAACAACGGACCAAGCAGCGGAGGAAGGAGCAGCGCCAGGAGGAGCAAGAAUCCUGGACCAGGGAGAGAAAAGACUGGACAUGGGAGGACAUCCUGGAAGGCAAGGGAUCCUACACUUGGGAGGAGAUCCUGGUCGGAAGGGAUCGCCUCACAUGGGAACAGGUAGAGGCACUCAGAAGAGUGGAGGCAGCAGGAAAAAAGGACCAAAUGUAUGAGGGAACACGGCUGGGUAGGAAGCCCGAGAGGCACACGGGGAGUGUGGCAGAGUCAGGUUGGAGACCUGAGCCAGCUCCCCGUGCUUACAGGAGGCAGCGCAGUACUGGUCAGACACCGUGUUAUGCGGUAAAGCGCACGGUGUCCCCAGUACGCGUGCAGAGCCCGGUGCGCUACAUCCCAGCUCCUAACAUCUGCCGGGGGAGGUUGGGCAUCGAGCCAGGGCAGGUUGUGCAGGCCGUGCGCUCUAGACCUCCAGUGCGUCUUCUGGACCCGGUCCGUCCUGUGCCUCCUCCUAGGACUAGGCCUCCAGUGGGUCUCCCUAUCCUGGUCUGUCCUGUG
Molecule: long non-coding RNA, 887 nt
Filed under: Salmo salar (Atlantic salmon)
Lineage: Eukaryota; Metazoa; Chordata; Actinopteri; Salmoniformes; Salmonidae
Description: lncRNA (ENSSSAG00000106873.1, ENSSSAG00020021340.1, ENSSSAG00075018390.1)
Source: RNAcentral